CUUAGUACGGCGAGUGAAGCGGUAAAAGCUCAAAUUUGAAAUCUGGUACUUUCAGUGCCCGAGUUGUAAUUUGUAGAAUUUGUCUUUGAUUAGGUCCUUGUCUAUGUUCCUUGGAACAGGACGUCAUAGAGGGUGAGAAUCCCGUUUGGCGAGGAUACCUUUUCUCUGUAAGACUUUUUCGAAGAGUCGAGUUGUUUGGGAAUGCAGCUCAAAGUGGGUGGUAAAUUCCAUCUAAAGCUAAAUAUUGGCGAGAGACCGAUAGCGAACAAGUACAGUGAUGGAAAGAUGAAAAGAACUUUGAAAAGAGAGUGAAAAAGUACGUGAAAUUGUUGAAAGGGAAGGGCAUUUGAUCAGACAUGGUGUUUUUUGCAUGCACUCGCCUCUCGUGGGCUUGGGCCUCUCAAAAAUUUCACUGGGCCAACAUCAAUUCUGGCAGCAGGAUAAAUCAUUAAGAAUGUAGCUACUUCGGUAGUGUUAUAGCUUUUUGGAAUACUGUUAGCCGGGAUUGAGGACUGCGCUUCGGCAAGGAUGUUGGCAUAAUGGUUAAAUGCCGCCCGUCUUGAAACACGGACCA
RNAcentral lists this ribosomal RNA (574 nucleotides) under Hanseniaspora uvarum. Its description in RNAcentral is "eukaryotic LSU rRNA". It matches the Rfam family "Eukaryotic large subunit ribosomal RNA", at positions 79 to 668 of the family's 3401-position model. Lineage: Eukaryota; Fungi; Ascomycota; Saccharomycetes; Saccharomycodales; Saccharomycodaceae. The record is from RNAcentral.